GAGAUAGCUCAGUUGGUUAGAGUGUGGUGCUGAUAACGCCAAGGUUGCAGGUUUGAUCUCCAUAUAAUCA
Podarcis lilfordi (Lilford's wall lizard) is the source of this 70-nucleotide non-coding RNA. Lineage: Eukaryota; Metazoa; Chordata; Lepidosauria; Squamata; Lacertidae. The record is from the annotation of a GenBank genome assembly.